GCAGCAGCCGCGGUAAUACAGAGGGUGCGAGCGUUGUCCGGAAUCACUGGGCGUAAAGGGCGCGUAGGCGGUUGCUUAAGCGUGUGGUGAAAGCCCGGGGCUCAACCCCGGGUCGGCCAUGCGAACUGGGCGACUGGAGCCGAUCAGAGGCAGGCGGAAUUCCGGGUGUAGCGGUGGAAUGCGUAGAGAUCCGGAAGAACACCGGUGGCGAAGGCGGCCUGCUGGGAUCGAGCUGACGCUGAGGCGCGACAGCGUGGGGAGCAAACAGGAUUAGAUACCCCCGUAGUCCCUGUCUCUUAUAC
This 302-nucleotide ribosomal RNA is filed under the name uncultured bacterium. RNAcentral's name for it is "partial 16S ribosomal RNA". It matches the Rfam family "Bacterial small subunit ribosomal RNA", at positions 508 to 807 of the family's 1533-position model. The record is from RNAcentral.